UGAGCAAUCUGCCCUUCUCAUCGGAAUAAGCGUUGGAAACAACGUCUAAUGCCGAAUACGACCUCCUUUCGCAUGAUCGGAGGUGGAAAGCUCCGGCGGAGAAGGAUGAGCUCGCGGCCUAUCAGCUAGUUGGUGAGGUAAUGGCUCACCAAGGCGACGCGGUAGCCGGCCUGAGAGGGUGACCGGCCACACUGGGACUGAGACACGGCCCAGACUCCUAGGAGG
Molecule: ribosomal RNA, 225 nt
Filed under: uncultured bacterium
Lineage: Bacteria
Description: partial 16S ribosomal RNA
Rfam family: Bacterial small subunit ribosomal RNA
Source: RNAcentral